AUUGAACGCUGGCGGCAGGCCUAACACAUGCAAGUCGAACGAGUGGCGGACGGGUGAGUAAUGCCUAGGAAUCUGCCUGGUAGUGGGGGAUAACGUCCGGAAACGGGCGCUAAUACCGCAUACUAUCAGAUGAGCCCAGAUGGGAUUAGCUAGUAGGUGGGGUAAAGGCUCACCUAGGCGACGAUCCCUAGCUGGUCUGAGAGGAUGACCAGCCACACUGGAACUGAGACACGGUCCAGACUCAUACGGGAGGCAGCAGUGGGGAAUAUUGCACAAUGGGCGCAAGCCUGAUGCAGCCAGGCCGCGGGUAUGAAGAAGGCCUUCGGGUUGUAAAGUACUUUCAGCGGGGAGGCGGUACCCGCAGAAGAAGCACCGGCUAACUCCGUGCCAGCAGCCGCGGUAAUAC
RNAcentral lists this ribosomal RNA (406 nucleotides) under uncultured bacterium. RNAcentral describes it as "partial 16S ribosomal RNA". It matches the Rfam family "Bacterial small subunit ribosomal RNA", at positions 29 to 526 of the family's 1533-position model. The record is from RNAcentral.